Molecule: long non-coding RNA, 1327 nt
Organism: Lactuca sativa (garden lettuce)
Lineage: Eukaryota; Viridiplantae; Streptophyta; Magnoliopsida; Asterales; Asteraceae
Source: RefSeq, a predicted model, not a curated record
AACAUGUCCUAAAAUGAAAGAGGAAAGAAUGGAACGAUUCAAACUCUAACCCUAAACCUAAGAGCCGACUUUAGCAGAAACAGAAAAAUCGAAGAAUCAAGAAUCGCAUCAGAGAGUUAAAGAAUAAGUGGAGGUUUUUAAUGAUGGCUUUAGCGAUUCAGUGGAGAAAUCGUUAUCGAUAGAAUUGAAAAGAAGUGUGAUAUGGAUAGAAUUGAAAAGAAGUGCGAUAUAUAUAUAUAUAUAUAUAUAUAUAUAUAUAUAUAUAUAUAUAUAUAUAUAUAUAUAUAUAUAUGAAAUAUAUCAACGAAAGUCGGAGUGAUUUAUCAGAAGGAUAUGAAUAAUUACAUGUUUGAAGCCAAAAUCGGAGUGUUUAAUCAGAAGAGAUGUUAGUGGGUGUUUGAAGACGAAGCAAUUGGAGCGCUUACUACCUCUAGGACGAAGUCAAGUAACAGAUAAUUUGAUUUUGAGGUUAACUUAUGGAUAUAAUUGUAUUUUUCAAAUUUUUGUUGAAGAGGGUGGUGGUGAUACUGAUUUAGUUAUUUUGGUGACCACAAGACUGACAUGUGGACCAUACGUGUUGCCUCGUACGUUGCAGGUCUCACUAAAAAUAUUUUCAUGAAAAGCAUAUUAAAAUAAGAUGCAGAAAGGAUGAUUUAAUUCAGAACGGAUUAACCAGGUGUGUUUUAUCUCGACAGCUGUGAUAAUAAUUUUUAUGCCCCUGGUCUUAUAUAUUAUAGACUAUAAUUUUGAAGCAAAUAAAGGAGAAGAUGAGUAUCUGAUUGAGUAUGCAGCCCACAAAAAAAAUCGAUGAGUAUACCUGGAGAUAUUAGAAACAGAAAGCAAACACCAGUGAUGAAAUCGAUUAUGAAUGUAAAAGAAAAAUAAGGGCUCGGUUAUAUUUUGAAAUGAAGGGCAAAGUUGGAAUUUCAGUUAGAAGAUUUGAGCGGGAAAAAUAAAGGUGGAGGAGCUAAAAGAAUGCCACGUUGCAGGUUUUGUACUGUUUUAUUAGAAGAGAGGAUAUAUAUAUAUAUAUAUAGAGAGAGAGAGAGAAGGGGAUAAUAUAAAGAUAAAUAUGAAAAGUGGUGCAACGUAGCCGAAACCACAAAAAUUCAAUCGAUAAGCAUGACGCUUGGUCGGGGAUGAUGUUUUUGUGCAUCACGUGCUUCGUUUUCACGUCUACUCCGGAUAACAUUGUUAUCUUUCUGCUAACAAAUGUACAACAAUGUAAUUUAUAAGUUAAAAGGUAUAAAUUUUUGGUGUACUUUGCAUUAAAAAGUCAUGUGUUACACAUUGGCUCAUUGAUCGACUUAAUGACUUUGUUGUUUAA